Triticum aestivum (bread wheat) is the source of this 125-nucleotide non-coding RNA. NCBI's taxonomy places the organism in Eukaryota, Viridiplantae, Streptophyta, Magnoliopsida, Poales, Poaceae. The record is from Rfam.
AAACUACUCCCUCCGUUUGGAAAUACUUGUCGAAGAAAUGGAUAAAAAUAGAUGUAUCUAAAACUUAAAUACGUCUAGAUACAUCCAUCCCUACGACAAGUAUUUCCGGAUGAAGGGAGUAUUUC